CCGUUUUCGGAGGUACUCGAGUGGCGAACGGGUGAGUAACACGUGGGUGAUCCGCCCUGCACUCUGGGAUAAGCCUGGGAAACUGGGUCUAAUACCGGAUAGGACCGCACUUUAGUGUGUGUGGUGGAAAGUUUUUUCGGUGUAGGAUGAGCCCGCGGCCUAUCAGCUUGUUGGUGGGGUAAUGGCCUACCUAGGCGGCGACGGGUAGCCGGACUGAGAGGUUGGUCGGCCACAUUGGGACUGAGAUACGGCCCAG
Molecule: ribosomal RNA, 256 nt
Filed under: uncultured Actinomycetales bacterium
Lineage: Bacteria; Bacillati; Actinomycetota; Actinomycetes; Actinomycetales
Description: partial 16S ribosomal RNA
Rfam family: Bacterial small subunit ribosomal RNA
Source: RNAcentral